GGGGAAUAUUGCACAAUGGGCGAAAGCCUGAUGCAGCGACGCCGCGUGAGUGAAGAAGGCCUUCGGGUCGUAAAACUCUGUCCUAAGGGACGAUAAUGACGGUACCUUAGGAGGAAGCCCCGGCUAACUACGUGCCAGCAGCCGCGGUAAUACGUAGGGGGCGAGCGUUGUCCGGAAUUACUGGGCGUAAAGGGUGCGUAGGCGGCUCAUUAAGUCAGAUGUGAAAGGCUACGGCUCAACCGUAGUAAGCAUUUGAAACUGAUGAGCUUGAGUUAAGGAGAGGAAAGUGGAAUUCCUAGUGUAGCGGUGAAAUGCGUAGAUAUUAGGAGGAAUACCAGUGGCGAAGGCGACUUUCUGGCCUUUAACUGACGCUGAGGCACGAAAGCGUGGGGAGCAAAC
This 399-nucleotide ribosomal RNA is filed under the name uncultured bacterium. Its description in RNAcentral is "bacterial SSU rRNA". It matches the Rfam family "Bacterial small subunit ribosomal RNA", at positions 356 to 773 of the family's 1533-position model. The record is from RNAcentral.